This 524-nucleotide ribosomal RNA is filed under the name Penicillium sp. 17m. RNAcentral's name for it is "partial 18S ribosomal RNA". The stretch from base 197 to 349 matches the Rfam family "5.8S ribosomal RNA". The record is from RNAcentral. Lineage: Eukaryota; Fungi; Ascomycota; Eurotiomycetes; Eurotiales; Aspergillaceae.
UACCUGCGGAAGGAUCAUUACCGAGUGAGGGCCCUCUGGGUCCAACCUCCCACCCGUGUUUAUUUUACCUUGUUGCUUCGGCGGGCCCGCCUUAACUGGCCGCCGGGGGGCUUACGCCCCCGGGCCCGCGCCCGCCGAAGACACCCUCGAACUCUGUCUGAAGAUUGUAGUCUGAGUGAAAAUAUAAAUUAUUUAAAACUUUCAACAACGGAUCUCUUGGUUCCGGCAUCGAUGAAGAACGCAGCGAAAUGCGAUACGUAAUGUGAAUUGCAAAUUCAGUGAAUCAUCGAGUCUUUGAACGCACAUUGCGCCCCCUGGUAUUCCGGGGGGCAUGCCUGUCCGAGCGUCAUUUCUGCCCUCAAGCACGGCUUGUGUGUUGGGCCCCGUCCUCCGAUCCCGGGGGACGGGCCCGAAAGGCAGCGGCGGCACCGCGUCCGGUCCUCGAGCGUAUGGGGCUUUGUCACCCGCUCUGUAGGCCCGGCCGGCGCUUGCCGAUCAACCCAAAUUUUUAUCCAGGUGACCUC